AAUAUUGGACAAUUGGGGCAAGCCUGGACCAGGCAUGCCGCGGUUGUGGAGAAAGUCUUCGGAUAGUAAAACACCUUACGUCGGGGGGGAAGGAUUUAGGUGAAUACCCUGAAGAUUCACCGUUACACAACGAGCAAGCACCAGCUGAAUUAGUUCGCGCCGCCGCGGUAAAACAGAGGGGGCAAGCGUUAAGCGGUUUUACGGGGUGUAAAGGGAGCGUAGGUGGUUAAGUAAGUUGGGAGUGAAAGGCCCGGGCCUAACCUGGGAACUGCUUUGAUAACUGUAGGGCUAGAGUACGGUAGAGGGUAGUGGAAUUUCUUGUGUAGCGGUGAAAUGCGUAGAUAUAAGAAGGAACACCAGUGGCGAAGGCGACUACCUGGGCUAAUACUGACGCUGAGGCGCGAAAGCGUGGGGAGCAAAC
This 421-nucleotide ribosomal RNA is filed under the name uncultured bacterium. Its description in RNAcentral is "partial 16S ribosomal RNA". It matches the Rfam family "Bacterial small subunit ribosomal RNA", at positions 360 to 773 of the family's 1533-position model. The record is from RNAcentral.